UUUGAAGAGAGAGUUCAAUAGUACGUGAAACUGCUCAGAGGUAAACGGAUGGGCCCACGAAAUCCUGUGGCGGGAGGAUUCAGUCAGACGGUGCGGUGCGCCAAAGUCUCGCAUACAGAGAUCUGCCCUUAGGAUGGCAGACUGACGCGAGUCGAGUGCCCGCUGCCGGACGACGCAUUUGCUUCCCGUCCGAAGGACGCCGCGACCGGUUGGUGAGCGGCCGUAAAGGUAGCCCGCGGGCAGGUAAUUGGCAACGUUCUGGCUUAAUUGUCGUUCUUGUCAGCGUUAUAGCCUGGGCACGCCGCAUGGCACGCGAGCCGACCGUGGUGUCGCUAGGCCCUCUCAUGGGUCUUGAUGCCGUCUCCUCCUUUUGGUAUUGCGGACGCCGGCGACAGUGGUUUGGAUGACCCGCUACGGGCGCACGGAGCGGAAACCGUGGCCCGCGGGGCGCCGCCCUUGUUGGUUGCCAGGCUUGCAUCCGUAUUUGUGGAGGUUGGCGGUCAGCGGCGAGUAGAUCGGUCACCCAUCCGACCC
This 534-nucleotide ribosomal RNA is filed under the name Mysmeninae sp. MYSM-008-ARG. RNAcentral's name for it is "eukaryotic LSU rRNA". The record is from RNAcentral. Lineage: Eukaryota; Metazoa; Arthropoda; Arachnida; Araneae; Mysmenidae.